GCGUCAGUAGGUUGGUCGUGCCACCGGUACGUACUGGUCUCACUGAUUCCUCCUUCCUGAAGAACCGUAAUGCCAUUAAUUUGGUGUUGCGGGGAAACAGGACUGUUACUUUGAAAAAAUUAGAGUGUUUAUAGCAAGCUAACGCUUGAAUACAUUAGCAUGGAAUAAUGAAAUAGGACGAUCGAUCCUAUUUUGUUGGUUUCUAGGAUUGACGUA
This 216-nucleotide ribosomal RNA is filed under the name Glomeromycotina sp. RNAcentral describes it as "partial small subunit ribosomal RNA". The stretch from base 40 to 216 matches the Rfam family "Eukaryotic small subunit ribosomal RNA", at positions 686 to 864 of the family's 1831-position model. Lineage: Eukaryota; Fungi; Glomeromycota. The record is from RNAcentral.